AUUGAACGCUGGCGGCAUGCCUUACACAUGCAAGUCGAACGGCAGCACGGGAGCAAUCCUGGUGGCGAGUGGCGAACGGGUGAGUAAUAUAUCGGAACGUGCCCAGUAAUGGGGGAUAGCCCGGCGAAAGCCGGAUUAAUACCGCAUACGACCUACGGGUGAAAGCGGGGGAUCGCAUGACCUCGCGUUAUUGGAGCGGCCGAUAUCAGAUUAGGUUGUUGGUGGGGUAAAAGCCCACCAAGCCGACGAUCUGUAGCUGGUCUGAGAGGACGACCAGCCACACUGGGACUGAGACACGGCCCAGACUCCUACGGGAGGCAGCAGUGGGGAAUUUUGGACAAUGGGCGCAAGCCUGAUCCAGCCAUGCCGCGUGUGGGACGAAGGCCUUCGGGUUGUAAACCACUUUUGUCAGGGAAGAAACGGCUCUUACUAAUAUUAGGAGCUAAUGACGGUACCUGAAGAAUAAGCACCGGCUAACUACGUGCCAGCCGCCGCAGUAA
This 500-nucleotide ribosomal RNA is filed under the name uncultured bacterium. RNAcentral's name for it is "partial 16S ribosomal RNA". It matches the Rfam family "Bacterial small subunit ribosomal RNA", at positions 30 to 523 of the family's 1533-position model. The record is from RNAcentral.